UGAUAGCUAUGAAGCGUGAGGUUGCUGUUACGUCGAAAGAUUUAACAGGUUUUCCGUGGAGCGAAUGUCAAGUUAGAAACUGACGACAA
RNAcentral lists this non-coding RNA (89 nucleotides) under pig gut metagenome. RNAcentral's name for it is "S10-Clostridia ribosomal protein leader". It matches the Rfam family "S10-Clostridia ribosomal protein leader". RNAcentral also lists the same sequence under 1 other name. The record is from RNAcentral.